GGGUUGUGAGGUUAAGCGACUAAGCGUACACGGUGGAUGCCCUGGCAGUCAGAGGCGAUGAAGGACGUGCUAAUCUGCGAAAAGCGUCGGUAAGGUGAUAUGAACCGUUAUAACCGGCGAUGUCCGAAUGGGGAAACCCAGUGCAAUUCGUUGCACUAUCGUUAACUGAAUACAUAGGUUAACGAGGCGAACCGGGGGAACUGAAACAUCUAAGUACCCCGAGGAAAAGAAAUCAACCGAGAUUCCCCCAGUAGCGGCGAGCGAACGGGGAGCAGCCCAGAGUCUGAAUCAGCUUGUGUGUUAGUGGAACGGUCUGGAAAGUCCGACGGUACAGGGUGAUAGUCCCGUACACCAAAAUGCACAGGCUGUGAACUCGAAGAGUAGGGCGGGACACGUGGUAUCCUGUCUGAAUAUGGGGGGACCAUCCUCCAAGGCUAAAUACUCCUGACUGACCGAUAGUGAACCAGUACCGUGAGGGAAAGGCGAAAAGAACCCCGGCGAGGGGAGUGAAAAAGAACCUGAAACCGUGUACGUACAAGCAGUGGGAGCACCUUCGGGUGUGACUGCGUACCUUUUGUAUAAUGGGUCAGCGACUUAUAUUCUGUAGCAAGGUUAACCGUAUAGGGGAGCCGCAGGGAAACCGAGUCUUAACUGGGCGUUAAGUUGCAGGGUAUAGACCCGAAACCCGGUGAUCUAGCCAUGGGCAGGUUGAAGGUUGGGUAACACUAACUGGAGGACCGAACCGACUAAUGUUGAAAAAUUAGCGGAUGACUUGUGGCUGGGGGUGAAAGGCCAAUCAAACCGGGAGAUAGCUGGUUCUCCCCGAAAGCUAUUUAGGUAGCGCCUCGUGAACUCAUCUUCGGGGGUAGAGCACUGUUUCGGCUAGGGGGUCAUCCCGACUUACCAACCCGAUGCAAACUACGAAUACCGAAGAAUGUUAUCACGGGAGACACACGGCGGGUGCUAACGUCCGUCGUGAAGAGGGAAACAACCCAGACCGCCAGCUAAGGUCCCAAAGUCAUGGUUAAGUGGGAAACGAUGUGGGAAGGCACAGACAGCCAGGAUGUUGGCUUAGAAGCAGCCAUCAUUUAAAGAAAGCGUAAUAGCUCACUGGUCGAGUCGGCCUGCGCGGAAGAUGUAACGGGGCUAAACCAUGCACCGAAGCUGCGGCAGCGACACUAUGUGUUGUUGGGUAGGGGAGCGUUCUGUAAGCCUGCGAAGGUGUGCUGUGAGGCAUGCUGGAGGUAUCAGAAGUGCGAAUGCUGACAUAAGUAACGAUAAAGCGGGUGAAAAGCCCGCUCGCCGGAAGACCAAGGGUUCCUGUCCAACGUUAAUCGGGGCAGGGUGAGUCGACCCCUAAGGCGAGGCCGAAAGGCGUAGUCGAUGGGAAACAGGUUAAUAUUCCUGUACUUGGUGUUACUGCGAAGGGGGGACGGAGAAGGCUAUGUUAGCCGGGCGACGGUUGUCCCGGUUUAAGCAUGUAGGCUGAUUGUCCAGGCAAAUCCGGAUAAUCAAGGCUGAGGUGUGAUGACGAGGCACUACGGUGCUGAAGUAACAAAUGCCCUGCUUCCAGGAAAAGCCUCUAAGCAUCAGGUAACAUUAAAUCGUACCCCAAACCGACACAGGUGGUCAGGUAGAGAAUACCAAGGCGCUUGAGAGAACUCGGGUGAAGGAACUAGGCAAAAUGGUGCCGUAACUUCGGGAGAAGGCACGCUGGUGUGUAGGUGAAGUCCCUGCGGAUGGAGCUGAGACCAGUCGAAGAUACCAGCUGGCUGCAACUGUUUAUUAAAAACACAGCACUGUGCAAACACGAAAGUGGACGUAUACGGUGUGACGCCUGCCCGGUGCCGGAAGGUUAAUUGAUGGGGUUAUCCGUAAGGAGAAGCUCUUGAUCGAAGCCCCGGUAAACGGCGGCCGUAACUAUAACGGUCCUAAGGUAGCGAAAUUCCUUGUCGGGUAAGUUCCGACCUGCACGAAUGGCGUAAUGAUGGCCAGGCUGUCUCCACCCGAGACUCAGUGAAAUUGAACUCGCUGUGAAGAUGCAGUGUACCCGCGGCAAGACGGAAAGACCCCGUGAACCUUUACUAUAGCUUGACACUGAACAUUGAGCCUUGAUGUGUAGGAUAGGUGGGAGGCUUUGAAGCGUGGACGCCAGUCUGCGUGGAGCCAACCUUGAAAUACCACCCUUUAAUGUUUGAUGUUCUAACGUUGGCCCCUGACCGGGUUGCGGACAGUGUCUGGUGGGUAGUUUGACUGGGGCGGUCUCCUCCCAAAGCGUAACGGAGGAGCACGAAGGUUAGCUAAUCCUGGUCGGACAUCAGGAGGUUAGUGCAAUGGCAUAAGCUAGCUUGACUGCGAGCGUGACGGCGCGAGCAGGUGCGAAAGCAGGUCAUAGUGAUCCGGUGGUUCUGAAUGGAAGGGCCAUCGCUCAACGGAUAAAAGGUACUCCGGGGAUAACAGGCUGAUACCGCCCAAGAGUUCAUAUCGACGGCGGUGUUUGGCACCUCGAUGUCGGCUCAUCACAUCCUGGGGCUGAAGUAGGUCCCAAGGGUAUGGCUGUUCGCCAUUUAAAGUGGUACGCGAGCUGGGUUUAGAACGUCGUGAGACAGUUCGGUCCCUAUCUGCCGUGGGCGCUGGAGAAUUGAGGGGGGCUGCUCCUAGUACGAGAGGACCGGAGUGGACGCAUCACUGGUGUUCGGGUUGUCAUGCCAAUGGCACUGCCCGGUAGCUAAAUGCGGAAGAGAUAAGUGCUGAAAGCAUCUAAGCACGAAACUUGCCCCGAGAUGAGUUCUCCCUGAGACUUUAAGUCUCCUGAAGGAACGUUAAAGACGAUGACGUUGAUAGGCCGGGUGUGUAAGCGCAGCGAUGCGUUGAGCUAACCGGUACUAAUGAACCGUGAGGCUUAACCUUACAACGCCGAAG
RNAcentral lists this ribosomal RNA (2922 nucleotides) under Klebsiella pneumoniae. RNAcentral describes it as "bacterial LSU rRNA". It matches the Rfam family "Bacterial large subunit ribosomal RNA". Lineage: Bacteria; Pseudomonadati; Pseudomonadota; Gammaproteobacteria; Enterobacterales; Enterobacteriaceae. The record is from RNAcentral.